Molecule: ribosomal RNA, 440 nt
Filed under: uncultured bacterium
Lineage: Bacteria
Description: bacterial SSU rRNA
Rfam family: Bacterial small subunit ribosomal RNA
Source: RNAcentral
CCUACGGGUCGCACCAGUGGGGAAUUUUGGACAAUGGGCGAAAGCCUGAUCCAGCAAUGCUGCGUGUGUGAAGAAGGUCUCCGGAUUGUAAAGCACUUUCGACGGGGACGAUGAUGACGGUACCCGUAGAAGAAGACCCGGCUAACUUCGUGCCAGCAGCCGCGGUAAUACGAAGGGGGCUAGCGUUGCUCGGAAUGACUGGGCGUAAAGGGCGCGUAGGCGGUUUAUGCAGUCAGAUGUGAAAUCCCCGGGCUUAACCUGGGAACUGCAUUUGAGACGCAUAGACUAGAGGUCGAGAGAGGGUUGUGGAAUUCCCAGUGUAGAGGUGAAAUUCGUAGAUAUUGGGAAGAACACCGGUGGCGAAGGCGGCAACCUGGCUCGAUACUGACGCUGAGGUGCGAAAGCGUGGGGAGCAAACAGGAUUAGAUACCCGGGUAGUC